Non-coding RNA from Triticum aestivum (bread wheat), 125 nucleotides. NCBI's taxonomy places the organism in Eukaryota, Viridiplantae, Streptophyta, Magnoliopsida, Poales, Poaceae. The record is from Rfam.
CUACUACUUCCUCCGUCCGGAAAUAAUUGUCGGAGGAAUGGAUGUAUCUAGUCAUACUUCAGUUUUAGAUGCAUCCAUUUUUAUCCAUUUAUGCGACAAGUAUUUUCGGACGGAGGGAGUACUAG